RNAcentral lists this ribosomal RNA (422 nucleotides) under uncultured eukaryote. RNAcentral describes it as "SSU rRNA". It matches the Rfam family "Eukaryotic small subunit ribosomal RNA", at positions 592 to 1017 of the family's 1831-position model. The record is from RNAcentral.
CAAUAGCGUAUAUUUAAGUUGUUGCAGUUAAAAGCUCGUAGUUGGAUUUGUGGUGUGUCCAGUUGGCCUUUGCUCUUUGAGUGAUAGUGCUUUACUGGUCUGCCAUGUUUGGGUGGAAUCUGUGUGGCAUUAAGUUGUCGUGCAGGGGAUGCCCAUCGUUUACUGUGAAAAAUUAGAGUGUUUAAAGCAGGCUUAUGCCGUUGAAUAUAUUAGCAUGGAAUAAUAAGAUAGGACUUUGGAACUAUUUUGUUGGUUUGCGUUACAAAGUAAUGAUUAAUAGGGACAGUUGGGGGUAUUCGUAUUUCGUUGUCAGAGGUGAAAUUCUUGGAUUUCCGAAAGACGAACUACUGCGAAAGCAUUUACCAAGGAUGUUUUCAUUAAUCAAGAACGAAAGUUAGGGGAUCGAAGAUGAUUAGAUACCA